CUGGACCUUUGGUGACUUCGAGAGAGUCAGAGACACGAAAACAGAAGCACGGUACACCUAAAAGAUGCCCGAUUACAUUCGAGAAAAGACACUCAGAGGAAUGAGUAGAUUAAUGCUGGCCGUCGUGGUUAUCUCACUUGGAAAUCAACACUGCGAUGCCGGAAAAUCCCUGCUUCCGAGCACUUUUCCUUGGUUAUUUCGGGGUUCCAAUCCACCGGGAAGGUUGAGGUGAAGGAUGCAGAGCGUGUGAUCAUAACGGAAACUCGGACAGCGGAUCAAACGCUGGACGACACCUUGACACUACAAGACUUCAACAGGGAUCUGCAGGCUGUGAAGGACUUAAAGAGAGAUCAAUGUUUCAUUCUACCCCUGGGUACCCCGUACGAGGAGGCUAAGGUUGCUGCCCAGGACAAACAUGUAAGUGGUAACCCCCCUGGGUAUCCCAUAUGGGGAGGUUAAGGCUUCUUCCCAGGACAUAUAUAAGUGGUACCCCCC
This is a long non-coding RNA of Liolophura sinensis, 495 nucleotides long. RefSeq lists it as uncharacterized. The record is from RefSeq and is a predicted model, not a curated record. The transcript has 4 exons. NCBI's taxonomy places the organism in Eukaryota, Metazoa, Mollusca, Polyplacophora, Chitonida, Chitonidae.